GACGAACGCUGGCGGCGUGCUUAAUACAUGCAAGUCUACGAUUUUUAAAGUAGCAAUAUUUUAAAGAGAGUGGCGCACGGGUGAGUAACACGUAGGCAACCUACCCUUCAGUGGGGGACAACAGAGGGAAACUUCUGCUAAUACCGCAUACGGCCUUGUACUGGGAUGUACGAGGAGAAAGGAUUUAUUCGCUGAGGGAUGGGCCUGCGGCCUAUCAGGUAGUUGGUGGGGUAAAGGCCUACCAAGCCUGCGACGGGUAGCCGGACUGAGAGGUCGACCGGCCACACUGGAACUGAGACACGGUCCAGACUCCUACGGGAGGCAGCAGUGGGGAAUAUUGCACAAUGGGGGAAACCCUGAUGCAGCGACGCCGCGUGGAGGAUGACC
This 387-nucleotide ribosomal RNA is filed under the name uncultured bacterium. RNAcentral's name for it is "bacterial SSU rRNA". It matches the Rfam family "Bacterial small subunit ribosomal RNA", at positions 28 to 413 of the family's 1533-position model. The record is from RNAcentral.